RNAcentral lists this long non-coding RNA (788 nucleotides) under Vulpes vulpes (red fox). Its description in RNAcentral is "lncRNA (ENSVVUG00000030150.1)". The record is from RNAcentral. Lineage: Eukaryota; Metazoa; Chordata; Mammalia; Carnivora; Canidae.
AAUAAUUUAGUAGGAUAUCUAUAUGCCAAUACAUGGGACUCUGUCACCAAAUAAAAAGCAUAUGAUGUGAUCCUGGAGUCCCGGGAUCGAGUCCCACAUCAGGCUCCCUGCAUGGAGCCUGCUUCUCCCUCUGCCUGUAUUUCUGCCCCCCACCCCAUCUCUCAUGAAUAAAUAAAUAAAAUCUUUAAAAAAAAAAAAAGCAUAUGAUGUGGCUUCACUCUGACAAAUACUGGGAAACACUAACUUGUUUUGUCAUUUUGUUGUGGUGUUACAGAGCUACAAUCAUUAGCCCAGACUAUCAUCUAUGAAAUGCUUGUGUACAGGUAAUUACAAUGAUAGAAUGUCAAGUAUGGACCAAUACAGCCAGUGGUGUGUGAACACUUAGAGAUCUGAUGAUCCACCAGCUAUAUCAAGCCAAAGGAAAAUUCUCAUUUGAACAGAUUCAUUCUUCGACUCCAUGAGACAAGUACCUCGCUCUCCUGCUUCACUACCAGCCUCCAAAGACAGCUUCAGCUGAAGGGCUGUUGGUCCCGCCUCCUGUACUUUCAGAAUAGAGUGCUGGAAGACCAAAGGAUGAGCACAUUUGUUAUCCUGAAAAAGGAAAGAACAGAGUUGUUACAACUCAUUGCUGGGGGGAAUUAAGUAUGUCCUAAGUGACCUAAGUCCUGUGUGACUCCACAGCAAGAAGACUCUUGGAAACGUAUGCCUGCUGUCCCUGGACUUCACCCCAUGUGCUGUUUCCCUUUGUGGAUUUUGCUCUGUAUCCUGUUGCAAUAAAUCACAACUAU